AGUGAACGCUGGCGGUAGGCCUAACACAUGCAAGUCGAACGGCAGCACAGUAAGAGCUUGCUCUUACGGGUGGCGAGUGGCGGACGGGUGAGGAAUACAUCGGAAUCUACUUUUUCGUGGGGGAUAACGUAGGGAAACUUACGCUAAUACCGCAUACGACCUACGGGUGAAAGCAGGGGAUCUUCGGACCUUGCGCGAUUGAAUGAGCCGAUGUCGGAUUAGCUAGUUGGCGGGGUAAAGGCCCACCAAGGCGACGAUCCGUAGCUGGUCUGAGAGGAUGAUGAGCCACACUGGAAGGGGAAAACGGUACAGACUCCUAGGGGAGGCAGCAGUGGGGAAUGUAGGAAAAUGGGAGGAAGGCUGAUCCAAACAUAACGGGUGGGAGAAGAAGGCCUUAGGGAUAUAAAGCCUUUUUGUGGGGAAAAAAAAACAAAAGGUUAAAACCCCGCUGUUCAGACGGUAACAAAAAAAUAAAAAACGAAUAACUUGGU
This 491-nucleotide ribosomal RNA is filed under the name uncultured bacterium. RNAcentral describes it as "partial 16S ribosomal RNA". It matches the Rfam family "Bacterial small subunit ribosomal RNA", at positions 29 to 506 of the family's 1533-position model. The record is from RNAcentral.